GCUCCUCCUCCAACCCGUCGUGCUCCUCCGCCUCAAGAACCCACUCUCCAAUCCAUUUCCGAUCAAAUUGCUUCCUUGACCACCUCGGUUGGUCAAUAGACAAAUGAGAUCCAUGGAUAUUUUGUCCAUGUUCAUUAUCCAUAUGCCGGUCUUGUUCCCUUCGAAGCUGUGCCGGAUGAUGAGGCAGGAAAUGAUGAUGAAUGAUUUCUCUAUUUUUUUUUGGCUCUAUUGUGAUAUGUUUUAUUGUCCCCUCCUUAUGUACUCAUUUUUUUUAAUAAAUAAACAAGGUUUAUUUCAUCUUUG
Molecule: long non-coding RNA, 303 nt
Filed under: Nicotiana benthamiana
Lineage: Eukaryota; Viridiplantae; Streptophyta; Magnoliopsida; Solanales; Solanaceae
Description: long non-coding RNA (NBEN_LNC001896)
Source: RNAcentral